UGCAUGGUUGUCGUCAGCUCGUGUCGUGAGAUGUUGGGUUAAGUCCCGCAACGAGCGCAACCCUUGUCUUUAGUUGCCAUCAUUAAGUUGGGCACUCUAGAGAGACUGCCAGGGAUAACCUGGAGGAAGGUGGGGAUGACGUCAAAUCAUCAUGCCCCUUAUGCUUAGGGCUACACACGUGCUACAAUGGGUAGUACAGAGGGUUGCCAAGCCGUAAGGUGGAGCUAAUCCCUUAAAGCUACUCUCAGUUCGGAUUGUAGGCUGAAACUCGCCUACAUGAAGCUGGAGUUACUAGUAAUCGCAGAUCAGAAUGCUGCGGUGAAUGCGUUCCCGGGUCUUGUACACACCGCCCGUCACACCACGGGAGUUGGAGACGCCCGAAGCCGA
RNAcentral lists this ribosomal RNA (387 nucleotides) under Clostridioides difficile. Its description in RNAcentral is "bacterial SSU rRNA". It matches the Rfam family "Bacterial small subunit ribosomal RNA", at positions 1042 to 1430 of the family's 1533-position model. Lineage: Bacteria; Bacillati; Bacillota; Clostridia; Peptostreptococcales; Peptostreptococcaceae. The record is from RNAcentral.